Non-coding RNA from Erinaceus europaeus (western European hedgehog), 95 nucleotides. Lineage: Eukaryota; Metazoa; Chordata; Mammalia; Eulipotyphla; Erinaceidae. The record is from Rfam.
CUCACUCGGUGUUCUCACCGAAAGCACGUAAUCGCUGGUGUAACUCAUGUUGGCUGGGGGGCCUCCUGGCGCGCUGCGAACUGGGGUGCGCCCCU